RNAcentral lists this ribosomal RNA (809 nucleotides) under uncultured bacterium. RNAcentral describes it as "bacterial SSU rRNA". It matches the Rfam family "Bacterial small subunit ribosomal RNA", at positions 40 to 855 of the family's 1533-position model. The record is from RNAcentral.
AGGAGGGUGCUAUGCUGCAGUCGAGCGACGCAUGCCCAGUUCGUAAGAACAGGGUAUGACGGAGCGGCGAACGGGUGAGUAACACGUGAGCAACCUGCCCCACAGACCGGGAUAGCCCAAGGAAACUUGGAUUAAUACCGGAUUCCCUCGAACAAUCGCAUGGUUGAUCGAGGAAAGGCCUUUGUGCUGUGGGAUGGGCUCGCGGCUUAUCAGCUAGUUGGUGGGGUAAAGGCCUACCAAGGCAUCGACGAGUAGCUGGUCUGAGAGGACGAUCAGCCACACUGGAACUGAGACACGGUCCAGACUCCUACGGGAGGCAGCAGCAGGGAAUCUUGCGCAAUGGGCGAAAGCCUGACGCAGCAACGCCGCGUGGGGGAUGAAGGCCUUCGGGCUGUAAACCCCUUUCAGGAGGGAAGAAAUUGACGGUACCUCCAGAAGAAGGACCGGCCAACUACGUGCCAGCAGCCGCGGUAAUACGUAGGGUCCUAGCGUUAUCCGGAAUCAUUGGGCGUAAAGAGCUCGUAGGCGGUUCAGCAAGUCGGCUGUGAAAGUCCGAGGCUUAACCUCGGAAUUGCAGUCGAUACUGCUGUGACUCGAGUCCGGUAGAGGAGAAUGGAAUUCUCGGUGUAGCGGUGAAAUGCGCAGAUAUCGAGAGGAACACCAGUAGCGAAGGCGGUUCUCUGGGCCGGCACUGACGCUGAGGAGCGAAAGCGUGGGGAGCAAACAGGAUUAGAUACCCUGGUAGUCCACGCCGUAAACGUUGGAUACUGGUGUGGCGGUUGUCCAACGACUGCCGGUGCCGAAGCUAA